UACAUAGGUAGCGAGCGUUAUCCGGAAUAACUGGAUGUAAAGGGAGUGUAGGUGGAUGCAUAAGCCUGAUGUGAAAGCCCGGGGCUUAACCCCGAGGAUUGCACCAGAAACUGUGUGUCUAGAGUACGAGAGAGGCAAGUGGAAUUCCUAGUGUAGCGGUAGAAUGCGUAGAGAUUAGGAGGUACACCGGCGGCGAAGGCGGCUUGCUGGCUCGCAACUGACACUGAGACUCGAAAGUGUGGGGAGCAAA
RNAcentral lists this ribosomal RNA (250 nucleotides) under uncultured prokaryote. RNAcentral's name for it is "partial 16S ribosomal RNA". It matches the Rfam family "Bacterial small subunit ribosomal RNA", at positions 524 to 772 of the family's 1533-position model. The record is from RNAcentral.